AUGAAGGUGAUCAGCAAGUUGGAUCUUGCCCUCUGCUCCAAGUGUUGGAACACUUGCGCAAUGUGUUCAGGCGGAAGAAAGGGUAGUGCCAUCACCUGCCCCAGGAAGGAGAAUAUGUCCCCUCUCUCAUUUUUGGGUCCAGUGAAAAGCACAACCUUGAAUGAUGAAUCCAGGGAAACGAUCCUGGAUGGCCCUCUCACGUUGCUGCUUCGAAGUCGACCACAAAACUCUGCAGACAGAUUUGCUCUGGAAUCAGAUGGUCAAUCUGGAGAAGUUUCUGCAAAAGAAUUGAAUUGCAUCAUGGAUAAAUUCUAUAUUCAUUUUUGAAAUUUGCAUGUUUUCGGAAGAUUGAAAUCUUUAUUGUGAUGAUACCCAUAUAACACUACAUUAUAAGUACAUAUAAUACCUCAUAAUAGUCAUCCUUCCUCUUCCUAGACAUGAAGCAGAAUACCAGUGGAACCUGCUUCAUGUGCUGGCCACUUCUGAUGAAGGCAUGGAUGCUGAGAAUCUGGGUCCAUGGCUUCUUCACUACAUGGAAGGUCGAACCCAUAUACCAUGUUUUUGCCUUGGACAGGAGUUCGAGCUGGUUUCGGAGUAGACUAGUGUAUUCCGGGUUCUGCAGGGUGGUUGUGCAACACAUGUCCUUUUUUGGUAAUCCAUUCCCCUCUGGAUCACCGUUGCAGCGCAUAGAUGGUUUUUUACUCUCUUACAGCACCUCCAGUAACAGAAAUCACC
Long non-coding RNA from Magallana angulata, 735 nucleotides. RefSeq lists it as uncharacterized. The record is from RefSeq and is a predicted model, not a curated record. The transcript is spliced from 3 exons. NCBI's taxonomy places the organism in Eukaryota, Metazoa, Mollusca, Bivalvia, Ostreida, Ostreidae.